This 429-nucleotide long non-coding RNA is filed under the name Medicago truncatula (barrel medic). Its description in RNAcentral is "long non-coding RNA (MTRU_LNC005321)". The record is from RNAcentral. Lineage: Eukaryota; Viridiplantae; Streptophyta; Magnoliopsida; Fabales; Fabaceae.
UCGACUCAUCACUCUCUACAACUCCUUGUUCUCCUUUAUGUGAUUCAUCUCUCUCUCUCUCUCUCUCUCUCUCUCUCUCUCUCAAGGGUGUUCAAAACCGAACCAAUCCAAUAGAAAACUGCAAACCGAACCAAUCCAAAUCAAAUCCGCAAAAAACCGCAUUUGGUUUGGAUAUAUUCGGAUCACUUUUUUACUCAACCGCAUGGUUUGGUUUGGUUUGCAGUUUUACUUUUACCAACCAAACCAAUCGCGACAUAAGGAAAACACUAAUUAAAUCUAUGUCACCUAGACCAAUAUUCAUAGAAACUCAAUGAAAACUUUUAUAAAAUGAUAUUGUUUCUCUUGUUAAGUUUCUUCUUUUCUUUUAUUUUAAAAAUGUAUUUAUGUGCUACUUGAACUUGGGUAGCACUUGGGUGACAUUGUGAUUGG